AGUGGCGGACGGGUGAGUAACACGUAAGAAUUUGCCUUUAGGAGGGGGACAACAACUAGAAAUGGUUGCUAAUACCCCAUAUGCUUUCGAGUGAAAUGGAUUUUUCCGCCUAGAGAGAAGCUUGCGGCUGAUUAGCUUGUUGGUGAGGUAAUGGCUCACCAAGGCGGCGAUCAGUAUCUGGUUUGAGAGGACGAUCAGACACACUGGAACUGAGACACGGUCCAGACUCCUACGGGAGGCAGCAGUGGGGAAUUUUCCGCAAUGGGCGAAAGCCUGACGGAGCAAUACCGCGUGAGGGAUGACGGCCUAUGGGUUGUAAACCUCUUUUUUCAGGGAGGAAUCAAUGACGUGUACCUGAAGAAUAAGCAUCGGCUAACUCCGUGCCAGCAGCCGCGGUAAGACGGGGGAUGCAAGUGUUAUCCGGAAUCACUGGGCGUAAAGCGUCUGUAGGUGGUCCAAUAAGUCAACUGUUAAAUCUUGAGGCUCAACCUCAAAAUCGCAGUCGAAACUAUUAGACUAGAGUAUAGUAGGGGUAAAGGGAAUUUCCAGUGGAGCGGUGAAAUGCGUAGAGAUUGGAAAGAACACCGAUGGCGAAGGCACUUUACUGGGCUAUUACUAACACUCAGAGACGAAAGCUAGGGUAGCAAAUGGGAUUAGAUACCCCAGUAGUCCUAGCCGUAAACAAUGGAUACUAGAUGUU
RNAcentral lists this ribosomal RNA (700 nucleotides) under uncultured bacterium. RNAcentral describes it as "bacterial SSU rRNA". It matches the Rfam family "Bacterial small subunit ribosomal RNA", at positions 94 to 824 of the family's 1533-position model. The record is from RNAcentral.